UGGGAAUAUUGGACAAUGGGCGAAAGCCUGAUCCAGCCAUGCCGCGUGUGUGAAGAAGGUCUUCGGAUUGUAAAGCACUUUAAGUUGGGAGGAAGGGCAGUAAGCGAAUACCUUGCUGUUUUGACGUUACCGACAGAAUAAGCACCGGCUAACUCUGUGCCAGCAGCCGCGGUAAUACAGAGGGUGCAAGCGUUAAUCGGAAUUACUGGGCGUAAAGCGCGCGUAGGUGGUUCGUUAAGUUGAAUGUGAAAGCCCCGGGCUCAACCUGGGAACUGCAUCCAAAACUGGCGAGCUAGAGUAGGGCAGAGGGUGGUGGAAUUUCCUGUGUAGCGGUGAAAUGCGUAGAUAUAGGAAGGAACACCAGUGGCGAAGGCGACCACCUGGGCUCAUACUGACACUGAGGUGCGAAAGCGUGGGGAGCAAACAGG
RNAcentral lists this ribosomal RNA (428 nucleotides) under Pseudomonadota bacterium. RNAcentral describes it as "Proteobacteria bacterium partial 16S ribosomal RNA". It matches the Rfam family "Bacterial small subunit ribosomal RNA", at positions 356 to 776 of the family's 1533-position model. Lineage: Bacteria; Pseudomonadati; Pseudomonadota. The record is from RNAcentral.